This 492-nucleotide ribosomal RNA is filed under the name uncultured bacterium. Its description in RNAcentral is "partial 16S ribosomal RNA". It matches the Rfam family "Bacterial small subunit ribosomal RNA", at positions 29 to 507 of the family's 1533-position model. The record is from RNAcentral.
AGUGAACGCUGGCGGUAGGCCUAACACAUGCAAGUCGAACGGCAGCACAGUAAGAGCUUGCUCUUACGGGUGGCGAGUGGCGGACGGGUGAGGAAUACAUCGGAAUCUACUUUUUCGUGGGGGAUAACGUAGGGAAACUUACGCUAAUACCGCAUACGACCUACGGGUGAAAGCAGGGGAUCUUCGGACCUUGCGCGAUUGAAUGAGCCGAUGUCGGAUUAGCUAGUUGGCGGGGUAAAGGCCCACCACGGCGACGAUCCGUAGCUGGUCUGAGAGGAUGAUCAGCCACACUGGAACUGAGACACGGUCCAGACUCCUACGGGAGGCAGCAGUGGGGAAUAUUGAGCAAUGGGCGCAAGCCUGAUCCAGCCAUACCGCUUGGGUGAAGAAGGCCUUCGGGAUGUAAAGCCCUUUUGUUGGGAAAGAAAAGCAGCAGGUUAAUACCCCGCUGUUCUGACGGUACCCAAAGAAUAAGCACCGGCUAACUUCGUG